This 1244-nucleotide ribosomal RNA is filed under the name metagenome. RNAcentral's name for it is "bacterial LSU rRNA". It matches the Rfam family "Bacterial large subunit ribosomal RNA", at positions 1564 to 2817 of the family's 2925-position model. The record is from RNAcentral.
UGAAUACGAGACGCUAAGGCGUCGAAGUAGUGUAUGUCAUACUUCCAAGAAAAGCUUGCACUGUCAUAGAUAAAAAACGCCUGUACCAUAACCGACACAGGUGGGUAGGUAGAGUAUACUAAGGGGCGCGAGAUAACUCUCUCUAAGGAACUCGGCAAAAUAACUCCGUGACUUCGGGAGAAGGAGUGCCUUAUUCGUAAGGUUGCAAUAACAAGAUCCAAGCAACUGUUUAUCAAAAACACAGGUCUCCGCUAAGUCGUAAGACGAUGUAUGGGGGCUGACGCCUGCCCAGUGCCAGAAGGUUAAAGAAGUUGGUUAGCAAUUGCGAAGCUGAUAACUGAAGCCCUGGUGAACGGCGGCCGUAACAAUAACGGUCCUAAGGUAGCGAAAUUCCUUGUCGGGUAAGUUCCGACCCGCACGAAAGGCGUAAUGAUUUGGAUACUGUCUCGGAGAGGGGCUCGGUGAAAUAGACUUGUCUGUGAAGAUGCGGACUACCUGCACCAGGACAGAAAGACCCUAUGAAGCUUUACUGUAACUUGAAAUUGAAAUUGGACUUUAUUCGCGCAGCAUAGGUGGGAGGCGUUGAUUAUAAUCUUGCGGGAUUAUUGGAGCCAUCAGUGAGAUACCACUCUUGUAAUGUUAGAUUUCUAACUUUGAAUCAUUAUCUGGUCAAAGAACAGUUUCAGGCGGGCAGUUUGACUGGGGCGGUCGCCUCCUAAACGGUAACGGAGGCGUACAAAGGUUUCCUCUGAACGGUUAGAAAUCGUAUCUAGAGUGUAAAGGCAUAAGGAAGCUUGACUGUGAGACCUACAAGUCGAGCAGGGACGAAAGUCGGUCUUAGUGAUCUGACGGUACUGAGUGGAAAGGCCGUCACUCAACGGAUAAAAGUUACUCUAAGGAUAACAGGCUGAUCUCCCCCAAGAGUUCACAUCGACGGGGAGGUUUGGCACCUCGAUGUCGGCUCAUCGCAUCCUGGGGCGGUAGUACGUCCCAAGGGUUGGGCUGUUCGCCCAUGAAAGCGGUACGCGAGCUGGGUUCAGAACGUCGUGAGACAGUUCGGUCCAUAUCCGGUGUAGGCGUUAGAAUAUUGAGAGGAGCCUUCUUUAGUACGAGAGGACCGAGAAGGACAUACCUCUGGUGUACCAGUUAUCGUGCCAACGGUAAACGCUGGGUAGCUAUGUAUGGAGUGGAUAACCGCUGAAAGCAUCUAAGUGGGAAGCCCACCUCAAGAUAAGUAUUCUCAC